UACGGAGGGUGCAAGCGUUAUCCGGAUUCACUGGGUUUAAAGGGUGCGUAGGUGGGUUGGUAAGUCAGUGGUGAAAUCCCCGAGCUUAACCUGGGAACUGCCAUUGAUACUAUCAGUCUUGAAUACCGUGGAGGUCAGCGGAAUAUGUCAUGUAGCGGUGAAAUGCUUAGAUAUGACAUAGAACACCAAUUGCGAAGGCAGCUGGCUACACGAAUAUUGACACUGAGGCACGAAAGCGUGGGGAUCAAACAGG
RNAcentral lists this ribosomal RNA (253 nucleotides) under uncultured bacterium. RNAcentral's name for it is "partial 16S ribosomal RNA". It matches the Rfam family "Bacterial small subunit ribosomal RNA", at positions 524 to 776 of the family's 1533-position model. The record is from RNAcentral.